UACGGAGGAUGCGAGCGUUAUCCGGAUUUAUUGGGUUUAAAGGGUGCGCAGGCGGUCUGUUAAGUCAGCGGUCAAAGCCCGGGGCUCAACCCCGGCCCGCCGUUGAAACUGGCAGUCUCGAGUUGGAGAGAAGUAUGCGGAAUGCGCGGUGUAGCGGUGGAAUGCGCAGAUAUUGGGAAGAACACCGGCGGCGAAGGCGGCCUUCUGGGCCACGACUGACGCUGAGGCGCGAAAGCUAGGGGAGCGAACAGG
RNAcentral lists this ribosomal RNA (252 nucleotides) under uncultured Bacteroidales bacterium. Its description in RNAcentral is "partial 16S ribosomal RNA". It matches the Rfam family "Bacterial small subunit ribosomal RNA", at positions 524 to 776 of the family's 1533-position model. The record is from RNAcentral. Lineage: Bacteria; Pseudomonadati; Bacteroidota; Bacteroidia; Bacteroidales.